Molecule: long non-coding RNA, 3316 nt
Organism: Pipra filicauda (Wire-tailed manakin)
Lineage: Eukaryota; Metazoa; Chordata; Aves; Passeriformes; Pipridae
Exons: 6
Source: RefSeq, a predicted model, not a curated record
GCCCGGGGAGGUGGUGGAAUCCUUCUGUCCACGUAUGCCUCCUGUCCAUGGAGGUGUUUCCUGGACGUGGCACUCAGUGCCAUGGUGUAGUUGACAUGGUGGUGUUCGGUUGUAGGUUGGACUCGAUGAUCUCAGAGGUCUUUUCCAACCUAAUUGAUUCUGUGAUUCUGUAUGUGGUGUUACCAAAUAAAGUGCUCCAAACCCCAAGUUCCAUGGCUUUAUUGUAGCUAUUCAUAAGGUGAUCAGAGCCUCUGUUUUGCAAGCACAUGGCUGGCUGGUCAUGAGCCAAGGCCUUGAUUUCAGUGGCGCAGAGUGGGAUCAGGGGCUGCACCAGUUUGUGUGCUCAGGAUUACUUGGGGAAGGGGCUGUGUGCGCUUGGACCACAACUUUGGAGGCAUCUGCAUGCUUUGCAGUCAAAAAUAGUAACAAGCCAAUGAUGCUGACAGUGGUCAGACUAGGAGUAACCAAACGACAUGAGAGGAUUUUAGUCCUGUGUGAUUCAAUCAGUGGAUCAAGUUCCACAGCAUUGACCCACCUCAUUAUUGAAAUACAUUUGGUUACCCUUUGUAGCACAUUCAACAGCUAGGUCAACUUCUAAUAGAAUGCUCAACAACUUUUCUUAUUUCUUUUUCAUCAUAGAUUUGUGCAAUAGCUUACUUAACUCCCAAAAAAAUGCCAACCCUUCACCGACACAAAGAAGAGAAAUUCUUCGUAAGCGCUGAAGGCAGGAAAGAACCUGUACAAAGUAUACAUGAUCCCCCUACGAGGGAACUCUGUUGUGAUGCCUUCAUAUGAUGAUGAAGACUGGUGUAAGAUUUUUCUUGUUUUGAGGAAAAGAAGAAAAUCUAUCUGUUGUUACUGUAAUAAUGCAGAGGUCAGUUAUGUUUGGGGUAGAUUCUGGCAGGCCAGAUUAUGUAUCAGAUUUUGGACACAAUUUCCAGAAAACAGUCCAAUUACAUUGAAUUUCAAAAUUAAGUCAUUGUAUAACUUGAUUUCUGCUGCAAAAAAUAGCAUGGGGCACUUUAACUACGAGUCCUCUAUUUUAAUGAACCCCAGAAGAAUGGUUGUUCAUUGCUCCUGUAAAUGCUGCAAGGCAAGAAGUAAAAAAAAGACUUUUAAAACUGAUUUGAGAGCUUUCCACCCUUUAAACAGCAGCAGCUUCAGACGAGCAGAAAAAAGGAUGAUCUCACAGGUUUGUGUUUGACUUGGCCAUAGAUAUGAGUACCUGAUACUGAGUGAAAGCUUUCAGAUGUGAUAGAAAUAAUCAAACACGGUAGUACACAAGCUGUCAGCUUGCUUAAGUAGAUAAAGUCAGUGCUGGUUUUCAAGGUCAGUCAUGAAGAAUGAUUUCUUUUUCUUUUAAUCUUGUGUAGAGAAUUACAAAUUUCAAAAUGAAAAAUUGGUUCCUCGGAAGAAAUAUUUUUAUCAUGUCUUUUAUCAUGUGCGUGAUUUUCUUCAGUGUUCUUUUUUCAGUCAGAAAGGACAGAACUUCAAGUUGCAGCCGCUAAGCUUGUUUGUUGAAGGUAGUGUCGUAUGAAAGAGUCGAUUUGCUCAGCUUUGCUUUGUGGUUGUUUACAGCUUGCUUGUGCAAGUGCUUUUGGUGCUUUGCCUGUUAUAAUCUACUAACCUGACCUCCUCCACCUUUUCUCUAGUACCUCUUAUGAUGGAUGAAGCUUUGGAUUAUCUAGGAAAAAGACAGAAGCGAGACUUAUGAAGUCAUAGUGGCUAAUGAUGGCAGUAAAGAUCAAACUACAAAGGUUGCAAUGGAGUACUGCAAGAAAUAUGGAAGUGACAAAGUGGCGUUUGACGUGGAACUUCUUUAUAUAGCCCAGCGCUUGAAAAUACCUAUAGCAGAAGUUGCUGUUACAACUGGACUGAAAUAGAAGAAUUCUCAGCUGUUAAGGCCUCCUCUGGGGCACCAUCUCUUCUGAAGAUGUGAUGUUCUUUCAGACCCGUAGGGAGGUCUCUGACACUGGGUUACUGGAAAGUAUAGCUCCAUGCAUAUUUUGUCAUAGCAAAGCCAGCUGAAGAGGUUCUAAGUUAGUAGAAGUUUGGAGCUGGCUGCAGAUGGGCAGGGAUCUUCUUUUUAUACGACUGCGAUAUAUGACUGGUGCCUGGCAGCUUGAAAGAAGAAAAUAUAAUUAGGUUAUUUACAUUUUCCAAAUAUAUUAUUAUAUUUAAUGGAACAUGAGAACAGUUUCAAUCAAGUGAAGUAGUGAUGAAAGCUGAGGUAAUUUGUCAUUGCUCCUCCUCUUGUAUGUUUCAUUUUUGCAGCAUGUGUGUGUUUUGUAAGAUUGCCGGCAGGGAAUUUGUACAUUUUUAAAAGAGGAAGCAUUUCAAAAAAGAUUUUCUUACCUAGUAAUCAGUUUUUAUUUUAUUAAAUAGUAGCUUUAGCAUGUCUUAUAAAUUAAUUCAAAUAAAUAUAUCUGCUUUUGUCUCAUCACACUUCUGGAAUUUCCAUAUACGUAUUAAAAAGAGGCACUCUAUUCUACAUUGUGCAAUGUUGUGUCAUGAAUGACCUCAACCAUUUGUUUCUGUGAUAUCUGGAAAUUUUAGGCCAUAUUGCAACUUGAAAUUAUCAUUCAUGGUUCACAUUGAUGCAUGUUUAGAUUCAAUGUUAUGGGAAACAUUAAUGGAUUUUACUGAGUUAUAACAGCAAUGUUCUUAAGGUUGUUCUCAGGACUUUUCAGUAGUCUCUCUUAAAAUUCCAAAUGUUUUUGUCUGAAGCUGAAAUAGUUUUCCUGAGAUCAAACUGCAGAUCAUGUGCAGACUGUAGAAGGUCCAAGACCAAGCACAUUUAGUUUUAAAAUGUUGUCUUUUAUAAAUGUGUUUUGUUCAUGUGUACUAAUUAUUCCUGCCUACUCAAGGCUAGAAGUCCUUGACAUCUACAGGUCUGAAGUGAAGAGGGUAUGGAAAGCUAGUUCAGAGCAUGCAAAAAUGAGACCCAGUGUACACUGGGGGGGCUGUGCAUUAGCAAUGCCAAUCUGAUGUUGUCACACUUCAAAUGAGAUCAGAGAGGAAGGGAGGGGUCUUGAGUUUUUCAUAGUAAUGUCAUACUAUGUUACAGUACAGUAACCUAGUUUCAUUUGCGCUUUCAAAAUAGUUGUGGGUUGCCAACAAACUAAGCCAGUCUGUCUUUCAGAAACAUGUACAAAUUUCAACAGAUGUAAAGAAUGAAUGGUAUAUGGUUGUACUUUGACAUGGAAAUUCACUGGUGAUUUUUCUUAUUCUUUCUGUAAUAUUGACUUGAAUUUUGUUCCUGUUAGGGUUACCACAGUUUUCUAUCAAGUGCUGAAAUAAACUCUCAAAAAAUAUA